This is a non-coding RNA of Caerostris extrusa, 183 nucleotides long. Lineage: Eukaryota; Metazoa; Arthropoda; Arachnida; Araneae; Araneidae. The record is from the annotation of a GenBank genome assembly.
CAUACCAUGCUGAAUAUACCGGUUCUCGUUAGAUCACCGAAGUCAUUCGAAUGAAAGGGUUCCGUUCCAAAGGUUUUAGCCCAUCAUUGGGGUAUACGCGGUAGGUGUAGGGGUCACCGAAGUCACAUCAUUGGGCGCGGUCAGUACUUGGGUGGGUGACCACCUGGAACACCGCGUGCCGUU